Molecule: long non-coding RNA, 1710 nt
Filed under: Eucalyptus grandis
Lineage: Eukaryota; Viridiplantae; Streptophyta; Magnoliopsida; Myrtales; Myrtaceae
Description: long non-coding RNA (EGRA_LNC004512)
Source: RNAcentral
AUCUAUGCUGACUUUAAAAAAUAUUUAAAUGCAAAAUUUCUAAAGUAAAACUCACUUAAUAUAGAUUUUUUAUUGUGUCGUUGAAUUUAAGAAUGCAAGCUUUCUACCUUUCAUCUGGGGAGUGAAAAUUGUAAAAUACUUAUUUGGGUAUCUAGACAAAUCUCAAUUGUUGACAUUUAACUCAUUUUCAUAAAUCAAUGGUUGAAAUUUGUUAAUACAUCAAAUAAAAUAUCAUAUGGAGUAGAUAAUUCAGAUUUUAACAUGAAAUCAUUGUAUGUAUCUAUGAAUAUCACCAAAGGAUGUUAAUCCUACUAGCAAAUGGUUUGAUUGAUCUAUAAUAUGUUAACAAUGACGUCAUACAUCCAAUCAAUCAUCAUUUAUAUGCGUUAUAUACGAAUUUCAUUUUAAAUAACUCUGCAUGAACGUAUUUACUUUUGAUUGGUCAUCCCGUAUUAUACGCACGUGAUGUGAAAAAAGGUAGAAAAAUGGAGGCGAACCAUCAUUGCCUCUAAUGUGAAGACCACAGAUAUAAAGCACCUCUUGGUAUCUUAUCAUUCAAAAAUCAGAAGCACCAUCGCUAACAUGAGAGGUCUGCAGACAACGGUAGUGGGAACAAGAGAAUGAAGAAACCACGACUCGGUAAAUUAGCGAUUUUUGGCAGAUGGAAAUAAUUGAAAGAUCACUCUAGAAGAAGAGUUCGUAACAGCUGAUUCAAAAGCGGAAAUUGAUGUGUGACACAAACGUGCGUUCUCCAAUGCCACUCGUACAAAAUCCAAGGGACAGGUGUAAGAUCUACUAAUUAAACACAUGACCCAGACUCUCUUUAUCCCCGGGCUGUCAUUGUUUUUAUAAUUGGAAUGGAAUGGAAUGAACACACGGAAGGAGAGAAGGUGAACUUGCUCCAGGAAACUUGCUUUGUGGAAUCCCACUUUGAUUCGUUAAGGGGACUUUUGGAAAUUCAUUGGUAACUAUGAAAUGAAUUUAUAAUUUCAAAAUAAUAAGGACAUUCACAAGUCAUUUUCUCCAUUUUCGAUAUUUUCUAAACUUGAAUUUAAAUAUCUUCAAUUUUGUAAUGAUACAGUUCAUUUUCUUUGUAGAUCGAUUGUUCAAACAUUAUUUCUUUCAUCAAUUGUUUAAGAGUGUUUUCCAUUAUAUUUCAUUAGUGUAUGAUUUUUAUCACAAGUUUUUUGUAUACUCUUCCAAGAUCUAUUGACAAGUACUGAAGAUGGAUAUUGAUGGUACCGUAGAUGGUGGUGACAUCGAUAAGUCAUGAGCCACGAUGAAAACAAUUAAAAAGUAGUGCCUCUCCUCUGUUAUCAUUUUCGAUCAUGGCCAUUGUCUUUUUGUCAACUCUAUCUAUGUAUUUUAAAGUAGUAUGUUUCCAUGUACAUCUUCAACUCAUCAGUAUAUAAGGACGAAGGUCUAAUGGAAGGCUGUGGGGUGUUCUUCUUCUCAAGAUACAGAGACUAAAAAAGCUUUUAGGCAUUGCUCAAUGAUAGUGCCAUCUUUGUUCAUGAAGUGGCCCUCGUCAUAUCAAAUUAUUUUUCUUAUGUAGCAUACAUAUUUUAGAGACAAUUCGUUGUCAUCGCCAAUAUCUGUUCCAUUGGACUUCCUCAUUUAAUUUGUAUUGUUGGUAAUAUGGAACAAGAAGAGUUUCUGCUAUCUACAACUUUCAUGUCCAAUAUAUUUUAAAGUGGCUUGAUGCACUUC